GCCUUCGUGGUGUAAUGGUCAUCACACUGAGCCGGUAUUUCAGAGGUCCGCGGUUCGAUUCCCGGCGAAGGCG
Molecule: transfer RNA, 73 nt
Filed under: Stegodyphus mimosarum
Lineage: Eukaryota; Metazoa; Arthropoda; Arachnida; Araneae; Eresidae
Rfam family: tRNA
About the family: Transfer RNA (tRNA) molecules are approximately 80 nucleotides in length.
Source: Rfam by way of RNAcentral